Molecule: RNA transcript, 1794 nt
Organism: Panicum virgatum (switchgrass)
Lineage: Eukaryota; Viridiplantae; Streptophyta; Magnoliopsida; Poales; Poaceae
Gene name: alcohol dehydrogenase 1-like
Exons: 10
Source: RefSeq, a predicted model, not a curated record
AGGCCGGAGCCCCGGUUUCGGCCGCCACGCCGCGCCUGUCCGUGGUUUGCUGCCCACGAAGGUGGACGGGGAGGUGGCGAAACCGCACCCUCCGUCCCCUCCUUGUCCUCCCCCAGGCUUACCGCCGGGCCGGAGCUAUAUAUAGGCGGGGCGCUCCCUCUCCGGCUCCUCACGGGAUUCGAUUCGCUUCGGUUUGGAUUGGGUUGUUUCCUGAAUCCUGAUUUGAUCGGUGGUGCGCUUGGAGCUGCUUGGUUUGGGAUUCUUCUCGGAGAUUUCUGGGGAACGAGGCAAUGGCGACCGCCGGGAAGGUGAUCAAGUGCAAAGCCGCGGUGGCAUGGGAGGCCGGGAAGCCGCUGUCGAUCGAGGAGGUGGAGGUGGCUCCGCCGCAGGCCAUGGAGGUGCGCGUCAAGAUCCUCUACACCUCGCUCUGCCACACCGACGUCUACUUCUGGGAGGCCAAGGGGCAGACGCCCGUGUUCCCUCGGAUCUUUGGGCAUGAGGCAGGAGGUAUCAUAGAGAGUGUUGGAGAGGGUGUGACUGACGUGGCCCCUGGUGACCAUGUCCUUCCUGUGUUCACUGGGGAGUGCAAGGAGUGCCCCCACUGCAAGUCAGCCGAGAGCAAUAUGUGUGAUCUGCUCAGGAUCAACACUGACCGGGGUGUGAUGAUUGGUGAUGGCAAGUCGCGGUUUUCAAUCAAUGGGAAGCCCUAUCUACCAUUUUGUUGGGACAUCCACCUUCAGCGAGUACACUGUCAUGCAUGUUGGUUGUGUUGCAAAGAUCAACCCUGAGGCUCCCCUUGAUAAAGUUUGUGUUCUUAGCUGUGGUAUUUCUACUGGUCUUGGUGCAACAAUUAAUGUUGCAAAACCUCCAAAGGGUUCUACAGUGGCUAUUUUCGGUCUAGGAGCUGUUGGUCUUGCUGCUGCCGAAGGUGCAAGGAUUGCUGGAGCGUCAAGGAUCAUUGGUGUUGAUCUAAACCCCAGCAGAUUCGAAGAAGCUAGGAAGUUUGGUUGCACUGAAUUUGUGAACCCAAAAGACCACAACAAGCCAGUGCAGCAGGUACUUGCUGAGAUGACCAAUGGAGGAGUUGACCGCAGCGUGGAAUGUACUGGAAACAUCAACGCUAUGAUCCAAGCAUUUGAGUGUGUUCAUGACGGAUGGGGUGUGGCUGUGCUUGUUGGUGUGCCACACAAAGAUGCUGAAUUCAAGACUCACCCAAUGAACUUCCUGAACGAGAGGACCCUGAAGGGAACCUUCUUCGGCAACUAUAAGCCACGCACUGACCUGCCCAAUGUGGUUGAGCUGUACAUGAAGAAGGAGCUGGAGGUGGAGAAGUUCAUUACGCACAGCGUCCCAUUCGCGGAGAUCAACAAGGCCUUCGACCUGAUGGCGAAGGGGGAGGGCAUCCGCUGCAUCAUCCGCAUGGAGAACUAGAUUCAGUCGCGUGGCUUGCCUGAUUCGGGUUUGGGCUAAUAAAGGUAGCAGUGUCUGGUGAGCCUGCCCUGUCGAUGGGGGAGGAAAGAUACACAGUGGUGGCAUCCCACCCAUGUGUGUCACGUCCAGUUUGGCCUUGUCAAUCAGUAGGGUGUAGCUUCCAGCGUCUGUGAUUAUCUAUCGGCAUGAGUCUCUCGAACUGUCUUUCGGCUUAAUAUAUGGUAUGGUACGUACCACUAUGAGUUUGAGUCGACCAGGCUGUUUUGAUUCAUUUGUGCUGCACUGGUUGGUGAUUUUUGCUGAUCUGUUUGUGGGCCUGUGAAUCAGUUGAAUUUCAUCUUGCCUCUGGUGGUUUCAACGUUA